This is a long non-coding RNA of Harpia harpyja (harpy eagle), 5883 nucleotides long. RefSeq lists it as uncharacterized. NCBI's taxonomy places the organism in Eukaryota, Metazoa, Chordata, Aves, Accipitriformes, Accipitridae. The transcript has 3 exons. The record is from RefSeq and is a predicted model, not a curated record.
UAUUCUUAUCACUGGAAGUCCUUAGCUGCUGGAACAACUAUCAAAUGGAAACGGUAGGCUUUCUGUGCCUGAAAUCUUUAAAUUGAGACUGGAUGCCAUUUUGGAAAAUAUACUUUUUUCUAAGCAUAACUUGCUAGGUUUAGUGCAGGGUAAAAGGGAGAAAGUGUCUGGGCUCUCUUAUUCUGGUCAGGCCAGAGGAGCUGGUGUUUCUUUUUGGUAUUUGAGUCUCUGCUUCUGCUGUGCUUUUCUCAGCACUGCCUUGUUACAGAGGAAAAGGAACUUUUAAGAGGGUCCUAAAUUAGUGUCCCUCUUUUCACAAGCCAUGUCUCUUACUUCUGCUGCCGCUGUAAAAUGCAAUGAACAAUGAAAUGUGAAUUACUGAGAUUUGGGGCUACUGGGAGACAAAGCAGGGGAGCUAUUUAUGUAAUGCUGAAACACAUGAGUACCAUUGUUAUAUUCUUUCCUCAUAUGUAUGCCUAUUUGCUCCACUGGACUUCGUUCCUUACUAACAUUACUGCUCUCUCUUUCUCCGUUACACACGCUGUACUUCCCUCACAAGACACAGACAGGCUGUAAGGAAGGUGAGUGAAGUACAGAUGGGGCCCGUAAAAGUUAUCCAGCUCACUAUUACAGUGACUUUCAGCAAGUAAAUCACAUUCCGGCAAUAAUUAUCCUCUUUUACCAGCAAAACCUUACAUGCUGUUGUCACCCUCAAACUGGGAUUAAUUGCCGUUUGAUGUUUAUAGAGUUUAUUUGGGUCUCACUACGUAUAUAAAUAUUUUCAAUUCCCCUUAUUAAUUCAUAUUAAAGGAAUUAUAUUUACUAAUUAAUACAUAUUAGAAGGCUAUCGGAGAAGCUGGGAUGUUUGAACAAAGCAUUUUACAGUGAAAAAAAUAACAUUUAAUUGAAGCCAGAACAUUUUGCAGAGGGACAUGGAUUUUGAUGAGGAAGCUUCUCAGCAUCAGAGUUUAUUCUCCAGCCAAAGAUAAAGGGACACACUGAAAGCUCCAGGACAGAUGACCUGACACACUUGAGUUUUGCAACUGUUCAGAUGGUUUUGUUUUCACCCCAUGCAAAUAGAAACAGUGUCCAGGAUCGAGAAACCUUUCAAUGCUGUGUCACAGUAUUGCUUUCCAGCUGCUCUUGUGUUCAGAUGACCCCCGCCAAAAGAAGGAAAGCGUCUGGGCUACAUUCUUGCCUACCUCACAGCAUAAGUAGCAAAUACGAUUGAUUCCGCAUAAUUUUUUCCACUUUGGACAGUUGUCUUUAUGAUAUGUAAGAAACGCAUUCAGGAACGUUGAGGAGAUGUGCAGGCAAAGGUGCUUCUCAGAAAUGUCCCUCUGCUCUGUGCCUAUACCUUUCAAAUGAGCUGGUUGACUGUCCAACAUUUGCUUUUGACUAUGUCUUUCUUACUCAGUCCCCAUGGAUGAUAUAAAGUUAGGGCCAAUGCAACAAAGGUGCAUGGGAAUCUGAGAGCAUGGUGGGGAGGGAAUAUUCAGAGAAAUGCAUGUCAGUUUGUUUUCACCAGCAGAUCUAGGUUUGCAGCUUUGUCUCUCCUCCCUUUGGUUUGGAGUGCAAAGAUGCAAAAUGAGAGAGGAAGGAUGCGUCCAGGCUCCCAGCCUGAUACUGCAUAGUAGACAACCAAAACGUUACCCUGUGGGCUCAGGUUUGUUAGCAAACUUUUCAUUAGAGCUCCCAUACUUCCUUAAAUAAAGGGGCAAAUUGCUGAUUCACAAAAAGCCUGACCAGUAGCUAGCUAGUCCAUGGCUGUGUAAUAAAAAAAAAAAGAAAAAAGAAACCAGGUUUAUGGGUUCUCCCCACCCUCCUCGCCCCACCCCGUUUGCAAGGUUUAAUCUUGUGUGGUUUAAAUUCUUCAACCUCUUCUCCCUCUCUUGCACUGUUUUUAUACUAGGAAUAUUUCUGGUGAAGUCAGUGAAGUUACCUGUGCAUAGUUCUGGAUUAAUCCACUGAAGGCAGCUAUGGACCACUCAGUGCACACAUGCUCUGCGUUUCUCAUACCCAGAAUCUUGCUGUGUUGGAGCACCUAUACUUCUCUGGAUGAAUAUUGACUUCUGGAUCCUAGGUCAAGCAAAGCCUACGAGCAGGAGGAGGCACUUGCCUUUAGGGAUGGCAUUCCCUGAGGGGUAUGGACAGCACUGAAAUUGCCUGAGCAUCAUUGAUAACAUGCCUGCAGCUCGAGAACAUUUGUAACAGGUUCAUCUGAAAAGCAGAGGGAAGGAGCCUGUUUCCUGAUCGGAUCAGAUUUGUCAGAGAAGUUCUGAGAAGCAUCUGAAAUUUGCACGGACAUCUAAACUGCACGUAGCUCUGGUCUGGCUCUAGAAUAUGUAUCAUUCACAUUUAAAAACUUUUGCUAGGUGUUGGUGGAUUCGUUGGCUAGGCUGCUUGAUGUAUGGCUCUGGAGGACAAGGUACCAUGACAGCCAGUGGAACUGAAUGAAUGGCCAAGGGUUUAUGGAAAUUCCAGCGGGAAUCUGUUCACUGUGCAUUCUCCUGCCUUGGACAGCCAACAAGUUGUAAGCAUGCAGCUCCUAAUCAGGGCUGGCAGGGCAGAUGGUUUAUCUUUGGCUGCUUGAGAGUUCCUGCUCUGCAGAGAGAGGCAGACACUCGUUUUGACUCCUUGUUGUGGGCUUUUCAGUUUCUAGUCCAUUACAAGUGACAUAGCCGAUAAAGAGCCUGUCUGUCAGUGGUGUCCCCGGAGGGGUGAAUCUUCAUCCCUUCCUGUACUCAUACCAGGACUGUCUGCUCAUGCUUUUUCGGAUCAUGCUGGGCACCAGGUGAGGAAGAACUCCGCUGGGAGCCGGAUCACAGCAUCCCAGCCCUGCCAGGCCCUCUCCCACACGCCCCUCCUAGCCACUUCAUAGCCAAUGGCAGCUCUAAAACAAACCUCUUCCCGAGUGGGAAUGUCGGUGCUUAAAAUAAAUCACUGCCUAUCAUUUUCUGAGUGGGUCAGAAGAAGACUUGUAAGCCUGUGUUGUGAACAGCUCUGACCCACUGCUUGGGGAAGAAAUGCCACAGCAGACAGCAUUGCUCUGGAUCCAUCACACAUGAAAGAAAAAAGGAAGCAAAAAUCUGACAGCUGUGGCCAGUCAGGAACUAUUUUGUGCAGUCAUGUAUUGGGCAUAUAUAGUUCCUUUAAUUUACAGAAAGUGCACAUCUAUAAACCAAUCAAGGUCAUACUGCACUUCUCGGUGGGAACUGCUAUUCCCAUUUUGCAGCAGAGAAGGAAAAGGGUAGAUCUGCACAGAAUUCGUCUGGAUUCAACAGGGACCUUGCAGGCUAAUCCAAGGGUAUCUGAGUGGCAAAGUCUGUUCUGCCCGUGACUUGUCUGUGGCCAGCAGGGAUUCUGCAGCAGAGCGGGGAUAGAGUACAGGGCCUUGCAUCCCAAAGCAUUGAUCUGAACAACUAUAACUGAAAUAACACCUCUAGAUUUCAUUGCUAAUGAAUAAGUAUGCUGUUCACUAGUCUGAGCCUCACCUUUUUUCUAAUUUGAGCUGAUCUUCUGUACCUUUGCCGGAGUCCAAGUGUUACUUUCCAGUGCCCAUUUAUGAAGAAUAAAGAUAAGACAAACACAUAUAAAUAUAUGUGUGUGUGUAUAUAUAUAUAUUUAAGUAUUCUCCCAUAUCACACUGGAGUGAACUUCCUUUUCUCUGGCUCCAUAAUACUCUCUUUUUUCCUUACUAUAUCAAUUUUAACUCAAUUUAUUACAGUUUUGUGCCUGAUAUUCCAAAAAUUAUUUUCCUAGGGUUAAUCCCUAACCCCCAGCAAUAUCAUUAGGAAAGCUAUAUAGCAGACUUGAAAUAGUUACUACUUGGAGCAAGCCACCUUUUCAAGUCAUAGAGAUCUUUAUUUAUAAUUCACAGAUUGGAGAAACUGGAGCAAUGAUUUCUACAGUAUAAUGCUUAUAGUUUUGUCUGACAGACCUGUGCUAAUUACUCUGUGUGGUUUUGAUAUAGAGCCAAGAAUGGGUUGUAGAAAAAUAUGUAUCACUAAAACUUAGGUCCCCAAAGUCAAAAGUAAAACAAACAGUGAGAGAUCAUUAUCUGAAGCAGACCCUUACUAGCUGUGUACAGAAAAAAGUCAUUCCCAUGUUUUCUGUUUCUUUUUUUCCUUUAGAUCCAAGUAGUGUUUCUGUUUGUAUUUGGAAAUAUCUUGAAUUUGUACAGUUAGGGCAGACAGUGCAUUUAUUCUGCUCUAUCCCCUUUUUCUUCUCUUUGAAAGACUAUAGCUGGCUCUGGUGCGGACUCUUUGUGUGGCCUUCAGCAAGUCACUUAACCUUCCUGUGCAUCAGUUUACUCAUUUGUAAAAGGAGUAUUACAAUAAUAGACACCCCUCAGGGGCUCUUCCAGAUUUAAAUAAUUAAUGUUGGUAAAGCAGUUUGUGAGCCUCAGACUAAAGGUGCUAAAUAAAGGCAAUAUAUUAAUAUUUUUUUACUCCAGCUCCUUAUAGAAGGAGCAAAGCAACAGCCUGAUAAGCGUUGGAUUUAAAGUUGGGAGUUGAUAUUACAGUGCUCAGAGUAUUUUUUAAUUUCUGUGGUCCCAGUUCAGCAGAGCUCUUAAAUCCAUGCUUAAUUUUAGAAAGACCCUUUAUUUGCCACAGGUAAGGCUCCUAAUCUGAAAAGGUUUUUGAAUCAGGCCCCGUAAGAGCAGCGAUAGAAGAGAAGGAUCAGCUGUGCAUGUAUGUAUCUAUGUGUGUUUAUCCUUUUGCAUUUAUGAUCUCAGCAAGAACAUCAUUGCCACAGGAAUGUAAUCGGGAAGUCUCAUAAGGCUUGCAAAAUUCAGCCGGGAUGCAAAUCAAUAAAUGUAACAGGAGAGAAACUACAAGCUGUGCAUUUCCAUGGAGGCUGAGAUUUUGUGGGAUGGAUAGACGCUGCUGAGCAUGACCUAAUGCCGCAGGAAAAAAAAGCAACCACAGACCUCAGCAUCUAAACAGUAUGAAUAUUGAACCAGAGGUCCUUGAGUAAUUGUCCUUUCUUCACUCUAGGGGUGAAAAGGGUACAUUAGACAUUCACUAGCAGCAAAUGGCACCUGACAUCUCUUUAAGUGAAAGUCAGCUUGGAAUUUUUUUUAAUGGCCAAGCAUAAAUCUUUUAAAUUAUAAAUCAAUAAAUAGUUAAUUCAAUAAUAGGAAUCUUUUAAAUAUUUAAUGAGUCAUAUGCAGAAUGGCUCUAUAACUGGAUGUUGAUGGAACUGUGUCAAAGGAAUUUGAAUCAAACUUUUCUAAACUCCCCAUAUUAAAAUAGUUAUUGAUUCAGAUAUAAACUAUGAAGACUGUUGCAAAAGUAAGGGGAGAUGGAGAGGUUUAGCAUACAUUUUCUCAUCCAAGAAGCAGCUUAUUUUUAAUGAUGUAUUCUUGAGCUUUUCAGAUUGUAUUAAUGUUCCCGCUACAAAAAUGAGUAAGAAGCUAUGCAGGCGAGAUUUUGUGUGUGCGUAUUCAUUAAAAUCCUGUUUUAAUGGCAGCUGUGCUCUUAAAUAAAAGCUGUGGCAGCCUGCCUCUCAUUAAAGGAUUCUGCUAACCAGCAUUGACAUUGAUAUCCUGAACUAUCUCCAUCUGAAACUGCCCAGAAGUUUCAAUUUAUUUACCAGAGUUUUCAAGUGAAAGCCAGUGGGAGUGGUAUCUACGUAUGCUAGACCCGAAUUUGUUCCUUUAUAAUUUUCUCUGAGGAGAUCUGUAGUCAGUGUUCACUCUUAUUAACUAUGUGCUGCUCUAAGUCAACACUAUUCUUAAUUACCCUAAAUUGGAGGCAUUUCAUGCUUGAACCUCAGACCUCAUGCGGUGCACUGUUAUUCUAUAGCAGAUAUGGCAUCUUCAGAUUUUGUACAGUCUAACCUUUACUUUCAAAAUAACAAUCUAGCUCAGUGUUGAUC